ACUCCUACGGGAGGCAGCAGUGGGGAAUCUUGGACAAUGGGCGCAAGCCUGAUCCAGCCAUGCCGCGUGAGUGACGAAGGCCUUAGGGUCGUAAAGCUCUUUCAGCUGUGAAGAUAAUGACGGUAGCAGCAGAAGAAACCCGCCUAGCUACCUCGUGCCAGCAGCCGCGGUAAUACGGAGGGGUUAGCGUUGUUCGGAAUUACUGGGCGUAAAGCGCGCGUAGCGGAUUAGUCAGUCAGAGGUGAAAUCCCAGGGCUCAACCCUGGAACUGCCUUUGAUACUGCUAGUCUUGAGUUCGAGAGAGGUGAGUGGAAUUCCGAGUGUAGAGGUGAAAUUCGUAGAUAUUCGGAUGAACACCAGUGGCGAAGGCGGCUCACUGGCUCGAUACUGACGCUGAGGUGCGAAAGCGUGGGGAGCAAACAGGA
Molecule: ribosomal RNA, 425 nt
Filed under: uncultured bacterium
Lineage: Bacteria
Description: bacterial SSU rRNA
Rfam family: Bacterial small subunit ribosomal RNA
Source: RNAcentral